UAGGGAAUCUUCCGCAAUGGACGCAAGUCUGACGGAGCAACGCCGCGUGAGUGAAGAAGGAUUUCGGUUCGUAAAACUCUGUUGUUAGAGAAGAACAGCGCAUAGAGUAACUGUUAUGCGUGUGACGGUAUCUAACCAGAAAGCCACGGCUAACUACGUGCCAGCAGCCGCGGUAAUACGUAGGUGGCAAGCGUUGUCCGGAUUUAUUGGGCGUAAAGCGAGCGCAGGCGGUCAAUUAAGUCUGAUGUGAAAGCCCCCGGCUCAACCGGGGAGGGUCAUUGGAAACUGGUUGACUUGAGUGCAGAAGAGGAGAGUGGAAUUCCAUGUGUAGCGGUGAAAUGCGUAGAUAUGUGGAGGAACACCAGUGGCGAAGGAGACUCUCUGGUCUGUAACUGACGCUGAGGUUCGAAAGCGUGGGUAGCAAACAGG
RNAcentral lists this ribosomal RNA (429 nucleotides) under Bacteroidota bacterium. RNAcentral's name for it is "Bacteroidetes bacterium partial 16S ribosomal RNA". It matches the Rfam family "Bacterial small subunit ribosomal RNA", at positions 355 to 776 of the family's 1533-position model. The record is from RNAcentral. Lineage: Bacteria; Pseudomonadati; Bacteroidota.